This 278-nucleotide ribosomal RNA is filed under the name uncultured bacterium. RNAcentral's name for it is "partial 16S ribosomal RNA". It matches the Rfam family "Bacterial small subunit ribosomal RNA", at positions 524 to 796 of the family's 1533-position model. The record is from RNAcentral.
UACGGAGGGGGUUAGCGUUGUUCGGAAUUACUGGGCGUAAAGCGCACGUAGGCGGAUCAGAAAGUUGGGGGUGAAAUCCCGGGGCUCAACCCCGGAACUGCCUCCAAAACUCCUGGUCUUGAGUUCGAGAGAGGUGAGUGGAAUUCCGAGUGUAGAGGUGAAAUUCGUAGAUAUUCGGAGGAACACCAGUGGCGAAGGCGGCUCACUGGCUCGAUACUGACGCUGAGGUGCGAAAGUGUGGGGAGGCCAAACAGGAAUUGAGAUACCCGGGUAAGUCC